Molecule: unclassified non-coding RNA, 350 nt
Filed under: Ixodes scapularis (black-legged tick)
Lineage: Eukaryota; Metazoa; Arthropoda; Arachnida; Ixodida; Ixodidae
Description: zinc finger protein 436-like, transcript variant X4
Source: RNAcentral
ACAAUGAGCGGCCGAUUCGUUGCAGUAAUGAGUGCCUCCGAUCACGGAAGCGCUGUUGCCCGUGUUGCCGGUGUGCUGUGCCCUCUCGAUCCUUGCUCUCGACCAGCUCUCGACGGUCGGCUGGACCGACUGGACCGCGCGUCCGCGGGUCCACAGGCCUUGGCCGCUGUCCAGGUGGGAAAAAGCAGUGCCGGCAGUGCAGCCUCAGUCGUCGCAGGAGGAAGUGUCCCGCGCUGCCCUCGGGGUCCAAGUCCGGGUGGAGGACCGAGAGGAGCAGCGGGCUACUGGCGCUGUCCGUUCGGAGCCGGUGAAGGAGCGCCGAGUGGCCCCGAAGCAGACGCCGAGAGGGA